CAUUCGUCUCUUUUAGAUUACUACUUCCGCUUGGGUUCACUUUCCCUACAAGAAAUAUGAACAAAUUGGUGAUCAUCACUUUUGCUGUAGUUGCCCUGGCCAUCCUUGUUGUUUCCGAAGAGAUCCAAGGCCAAGGCUUCCAUGGCCAUUUCGAUCAGCAUGGGUACAAGGUGUCCAUUGAACACCAACCUCACAGCCAUGAACAUCAUCACCAUGGCGGACAUGGACACAGUGAAAGAUAUUUCCACAUCCAACACCAUGGACAUCAUGGACAUCAAGGAUAUGAAUAAUUUAUGAGGCAGAAAUGAGGAAUAUGAACAUGAAUGAGAGCUCCCGUAAAAUAACUGCUUAUGGUAAUGCAGUUCAAGAUUGGGUUUUUGUAUGGCUUCUUUCGAUGUAAUUUUUGUGGUGGAUGUUAAUAAA
This is a long non-coding RNA of Argiope bruennichi, 423 nucleotides long. RefSeq lists it as uncharacterized. The transcript has 3 exons. Lineage: Eukaryota; Metazoa; Arthropoda; Arachnida; Araneae; Araneidae. The record is from RefSeq and is a predicted model, not a curated record.